CGGGCACCCGGAGGCGGCCCAGGCGGGGGUCUCCCCCGGGGCCUGGGGCGGGCCGAAGAUGUCCAGGCCUGGCCGGAGCCGCCUCCUGAUUGACGAGGCCCGCAUGGGAGUGCGGACGUGCAGCACAGAUUUGCGGGUCUCCUGGGCCUCUUGGGCGGUGAUCAGCGCGGACCUUGGGCCAACCGGGGAAGCAGGCCGGAGCACUACCCCCCACCCCCAUUUUAGAACAUCCUUCUGAGGGCUUCGCUGACCUCGGCUUGAACUCCUUCAGAGCCGGAGAGAUCACUCCUUCCACCACCGAGGGAGAGGAGGCAAAAUGAAUUUGCCAGCUUUGAAUUCAUUCUCAAGGCUCCGCUAGUCUCACAGCCAGUGAACUCAGUCUGGAAUUCCUGAAAGCUCAGAAAACUGCUGCUUAGGGAGGUAAUGGGGUAGAUUGGAUACCUCUGGGGUCUUGGAAGAAGCUAUGACUUAUUUACUGUCUACUAUGUGAAAUGACUGGACUCUUCUAUGGACCCAGUGGAGCUCAGACAAGGGUCCAGGCCCUGACACUGCCCCAGAGCAGGGGUGCCAGCACCUAUGAGGAUGCCAAGCUCAGGUCAUCGCCCUGCGGUGUCUCAGCCAACUGGGCCUCGAACAGCCCCAUAAACUUGGACAUAAACACAAUUAAAGUUUUUUAUUACAUUAUAUUUUGUACAUAUAAAAGACUAUUUGUAAGCCAUGAAACAUUACAAUGAAUGCUCAUGACUACUCUGCUGAAGAACUAGAGUAUUAGGGACACUUGUGAAGCUCCGACCUUCCCAGCCCCCUACUUCCCAGAAGGAGCCACUAUCCUAAUUGUCAUUACUCUCUGCUGUUUUUGUUUGUUUGUUUUUUAAGGAGUCUCAUUCUGUUGCCCAGGCUGGAGUGCAGUGGCGUGAUCUCGGUUCACUGAAACCUCUGCCUCCUGAGUUCAAGCGAUUCUCCUGCCUUAGCCUCCUGUGUAGUUGGGAUUACAGGUGUGCACCACCACGCCAGGCUAAUGUUUUGUAUUUUUAGUAAUGAUGAGGGUUCACCAUGUUGGCCAGGCUGGUCUCAAACUCCUGACCUCAGGUGAUCCACCCACCUCGCUUCCCAAAGUGCCGGGAUUACAGGCAUGAGCUACCACGCCCAGCCUCUCCCUGCCUCUUUUUAACAGAAAGUUU
Molecule: long non-coding RNA, 1181 nt
Filed under: Homo sapiens (human)
Lineage: Eukaryota; Metazoa; Chordata; Mammalia; Primates; Hominidae
Description: HSALNT0358721
Source: RNAcentral